This 2881-nucleotide ribosomal RNA is filed under the name Xanthomonas fragariae. RNAcentral's name for it is "23S ribosomal RNA". It matches the Rfam family "Bacterial large subunit ribosomal RNA". The record is from RNAcentral. Lineage: Bacteria; Pseudomonadati; Pseudomonadota; Gammaproteobacteria; Lysobacterales; Lysobacteraceae.
GGUCAAGCGAAUAAGCGCACACGGUGGAUGCCUAGGCGGUCAGAGGCGAUGAAGGACGUGGUAGCCUGCGAAAAGUGUCGGGGAGCUGGCAACAAGCUUUGAUCCGGCAAUAUCCGAAUGGGGAAACCCACUGCUUCGGCAGUAUCCUGCAGUGAAUUCAUAGCUGCUGGAAGCGAACCCGGUGAACUGAAAUAUCUAAGUAACCGGAGGAAAAGAAAUCAACCGAGAUUCCCUAAGUAGUGACGAGCGAACGGGGAACAGCCCUUAAGCUGGAAUGGCUUUAGAAAAACAAUCUGGAAAGAUUGGCCAUAGAAGGUGAUAGCCCUGUAUUUGAAAGGGCCAUUCCAGUGAAGACGAGUAGGGCGGGGCACGUGAAACCCUGUCUGAAUAUGGGGGGACCAUCCUCCAAGGCUAAAUACUCCUGACCGACCGAUAGUGAACCAGUACCGUGAGGGAAAGGCGAAAAGAACCCCGGAGAGGGGAGUGAAAUAGAUCCUGAAACCGUGUGCGUACAAGCAGUAGGAGCUCGCAAGAGUGACUGCGUACCUUUUGUAUAAUGGGUCAGCGACUUACUGUUCGUGGCAAGCUUAACCGUAUAGGGGAGGCGAAGGGAAACCGAGUCUGAUAAGGGCGCAUAGUCGCGGGCAGUAGACCCGAAACCGGGUGAUCUAGUCAUGGCCAGGGUGAAGGUGCCGUAACAGGUACUGGAGGCCCGAACCCACGUCUGUUGCAAAAGACGGGGAUGAGCUGUGAUUAGGAGUGAAAAGCUAAUCGAACCCGGAGAUAGCUGGUUCUCCUCGAAAGCUAUUUAGGUAGCGCCUCGGACGAAUACUACUGGGGGUAGAGCACUGUUAUGGCUAGGGGGUCAUCGCGACUUACCAAACCAUUGCAAACUCCGAAUACCAGUACGUACUAUCCGGGAGACACACGGCGGGUGCUAACGUCCGUCGUGAAAAGGGAAACAACCCAGACCCACAGCUAAGGUCCCAAAUUCACUGCUAAGUGGAAAACGAUGUGGAAAGGCACAGACAGCCAGGAGGUUGGCUUAGAAGCAGCCACCCUUUAAAGAAAGCGUAAUAGCUCACUGGUCGAGUCGGUCUGCGCGGAAGAUUUAACGGGGCUAAGCAGUGAACCGAAGCUUGGGGUGCAUGAAACUUGUUUUAUGCGCGGUAGAGGAGCGUUCCGUAAGCCUGUGAAGGUAGAUUGAGAAGUCUGCUGGAGGUAUCGGAAGUGCGAAUGCUGACAUGAGUAACGAUAAUGCGGGUGAAAAGCCCGCACGCCGAAAGCCCAAGGUUUCCUUGCGCAACGUUAAUCGACGCAGGGUUAGUCGGUCCCUAAGGCGAGGGCGAAAGCCGUAGUCGAUGGGAAGCAGGUUAAUAUUCCUGCACCUCGCGUGAGUGCGAUGGAGGGACGGAGAAGGUUAGGUGUACCGGGCGUUGGUUGUCCCGGAGAAAGGCAGUAGGUUUGAAUCUUUGGCAAAUCCGGGAUUCUUAAAGACCGAGCACCGAGACGAGCCUUUAUGGCAAAGUCACUGAUACCACGCUUCCAGGAAAAGCUUCUAAGCUUCAGCUCACGAAGACCGUACCGUAAACCGACACAGGUGGGUAGGAUGAGAAUUCUCAGGCGCUUGAGAGAACUCGGGUGAAGGAACUAGGCAACAUGGCACCGUAACUUCGGGAGAAGGUGCACCCUUUUUGGUGGCUCAUGCGAGCUAAAGCUGAAGAGGGUCGCAGAAACCAGGCCGCUGCGACUGUUUAUCAAAAACACAGCACUCUGCAAACACGAAAGUGGACGUAUAGGGUGUGACGCCUGCCCGGUGCUGGAAGGUUAAUUGAUGGGGUCAGCCGCAAGGCGAAGCUCUUGAUCGAAGCCCCAGUAAACGGCGGCCGUAACUAUAACGGUCCUAAGGUAGCGAAAUUCCUUGUCGGGUAAGUUCCGACCUGCACGAAUGGCGUAACGACAGCGGCGCUGUCUCCACCCGAGACUCAGUGAAAUUGAAAUCGCUGUGAAGAUGCAGCGUUCCCGUGGCAAGACGGAAAGACCCCGUGAACCUUUACUAUAGCUUUACACUGAACGUUGAGUUCGUCUGUGUAGGAUAGGUGGGAGGCUAUGAAACUGUGGCGCUAGCUGUAGUGGAGCCAUCCUUGAAAUACCACCCUGUCGUGCUUGACGUUCUAACCUAGAUCCGUUAUCCGGAUCAGGGACCGUGUAUGGUGGGUAGUUUGACUGGGGCGGUCUCCUCCUAAAGAGUAACGGAGGAGCACGAAGGUACGCUCAGCGCGGUCGGACAUCGCGCACUGUGUGCAAAGGCAUAAGCGUGCUUGACUGCAAGAUCGACGGAUCAAGCAGGUACGAAAGUAGGUCUUAGUGAUCCGGUGGUUCUGUAUGGAAGGGCCAUCGCUCAACGGAUAAAAGGUACUCCGGGGAUAACAGGCUGAUACCGCCCAAGAGUUCAUAUCGACGGCGGUGUUUGGCACCUCGAUGUCGGCUCAUCACAUCCUGGGGCUGUAGUCGGUCCCAAGGGUAUGGCUGUUCGCCAUUUAAAGUGGUACGCGAGCUGGGUUCAGAACGUCGUGAGACAGUUCGGUCCCUAUCUGCCAUGGGCGUUGGAAGUUUGAGAGGGGCUGCUCCUAGUACGAGAGGACCGGAGUGGACGAACCUCUGGUGUUCCGGUUGUCACGCCAGUGGCAUUGCCGGGUAGCUAUGUUCGGAAGCGAUAACCGCUGAAAGCAUCUAAGCGGGAAGCGCGCCUCAAGAUGAGACUUCCCGGGGCACAAGCCCCCUAAAGGAACCAUGUAGACUACGUGGUUGAUAGGUCAGGUGUGUAAGUACAGCAAUGUAUUGAGCUAACUGAUACUAAUGAUCCGUGCGGCUUGACCAU